CGUUUGGAAAAGGUACAACGCUGAUGGUCAAGCCAGAUCUCUCAGAUUCUGACCCUUCUGUCUACCAACUGAAGUCCCAAGAUGGAGAGUUGUCAGCUUGCCUUAUCACAGACUUCGCCCCUGAGAACAUCUCAAUUGGGAGUUCAGACAGUAAUCUCACAGAAGUCAGUGGCUCCAUUGUGCAGGUGAAAAACCCACACAGCAACAAAAUGGAAGCAAGCUAUGGGACGGUGCUUUGGAGAGAAAAGAAGUCGUUUCACUGCAUCGCUAAACAAAAAAUGGAAACAUUUGAAAUGAGUGACAGUGGUGAGGAAGGUGACACCUGCAGGAUAACAGAGCUGGAUGACAAUUUUGAGACAGACGAGAGGCUGAACCUCCUGUCAUUCACACUGCUGGGCCUGAGAGUCGUUUUUGUGAAAGGAGUGGCGGUUAACCUGCUACUGACCAUCUGGUUGUGGAAAAGCUAAAGAGUGGAAGGAAAGAGGACAGAUGGAACGUGGAGUGAUGGGAAUUCCUCAGAGACCUGGUGUCAUCUCUUCACCUUCCCAUGCACCAGGAAAUAUGAUGCAGUGAAUGAUCCCCAUGUCACCUCUGUAUAUAGGCCUGUUGUACAAUGAUCUGAUGUGCUUUCAUUUAGCAAGUUUUAGAAGGAUCUCACUUACCUAGCCUGGUUUUUCCAUGACCCUCAUCCCUUUCGCCCUCCACAGACUAACACAUUUAUCCUCACAAGCUCCCAGUGUGAGGCAAGGAAUUGCUAUUAAGUAGAGCUGGUCAACAAAUGUGUGAAAACAUCUUUUGAUGGAAAAUUAGGGUUUCAAUUUUUUUGGCAGAAAGUCCCCAUUUUCCUAGGG
This is a non-coding RNA of Chelonoidis abingdonii (Abingdon island giant tortoise), 851 nucleotides long. Lineage: Eukaryota; Metazoa; Chordata; Testudines; Testudinidae. The record is from the annotation of a RefSeq genome assembly.